RNAcentral lists this ribosomal RNA (465 nucleotides) under uncultured Klebsiella sp. RNAcentral's name for it is "bacterial SSU rRNA". It matches the Rfam family "Bacterial small subunit ribosomal RNA", at positions 338 to 795 of the family's 1533-position model. Lineage: Bacteria; Pseudomonadati; Pseudomonadota; Gammaproteobacteria; Enterobacterales; Enterobacteriaceae. The record is from RNAcentral.
CCUACGGGUGGCUGCAGUGGGGAAUAUUGCACAAUGGGCGCAAGCCCGAUGCAGCCAUGCCGCGUGUGUGAAGAAGGCCUUCGGGUUGUAAAGCACUUUCAGCGGGGAGGAAGGCGUUAAGGUUAAUAACCUUGUCGAUUGACGUUACCCGCAGAAGAAGCACCGGCUAACUCCGUGCCAGCAGCCGCGGUAAUACGGAGGGUGCAAGCGUUAAUCGGAAUUACUGGGCGUAAAGCGCACGCAGGCGGUCUGUCAAGUCGGAUGUGAAAUCCCCGGGCUCAACCUGGGAACUGCAUUCGAAACUGGCAGGCCAGAGUCUUGUAGAGGGGGGUAGAAUUCCAGGUGUAGCGGUGAAAUGCGUAGAGAUCUGGAGGAAUACCGGUGGCGAAGGCGGCCCCCUGGACAAAGACUGACGCUCAGGUGCGAAAGCGUGGGGAGCAAACAGGAUUAGAUACCCCGGUAGUC